RNAcentral lists this ribosomal RNA (465 nucleotides) under Vreelandella stevensii. Its description in RNAcentral is "partial 16S ribosomal RNA". It matches the Rfam family "Bacterial small subunit ribosomal RNA", at positions 338 to 795 of the family's 1533-position model. The record is from RNAcentral. Lineage: Bacteria; Pseudomonadati; Pseudomonadota; Gammaproteobacteria; Oceanospirillales; Halomonadaceae.
CCUACGUGGAGCUGCAGUGGGGAAUAUUGGACAAUGGGCGAAAGCCUGAUCCAGCCAUGCCGCGUGUGUGAAGAAGGCCUUCGGGUUGUAAAGCACUUUCAGUGGGGAAGAAAGCCUUGGGGCUAAUACCCUCGAGGAAGGACAUCACCCACAGAAGAAGCACCGGCUAACUCCGUGCCAGCAGCCGCGGUAAUACGGAGGGUGCGAGCGUUAAUCGGAAUUACUGGGCGUAAAGCGCGCGUAGGCGGUCUGAUAAGCCGGUUGUGAAAGCCCCGGGCUCAACCUGGGAACGGCAUCCGGAACUGUCAGGCUAGAGUGCAGGAGAGGAAGGUAGAAUUCCCGGUGUAGCGGUGAAAUGCGUAGAGAGCGGGAGGAAUACCAGUGGCGAAGGCGGCCUUCUGGACUGACACUGACGCUGAGGUGCGAAAGCGUGGGUAGCAAACAGGAUUAGAUACCCCAGUAGUC